UGAGUGGCGAACGGGUGAGUAACACGUGAGUAACCUGCCCUCUUCUUUGGGAUAACGCCCGGAAACGGGUGCUAAUACUGGAUAUUCACUGAUCUUCGCAUGGGGGUUGGUGGAAAGGUUUUUUCUGGUGGGGGAUGGGCUCGCGGCCUAUCAGCUUGUUGGUGGGGUGAUGGCCUACCAAGGCUUUGACGGGUAGCCGGCCUGAGAGGGUGACCGGUCACAUUGGGACUGAGAUACGGCCCAG
RNAcentral lists this ribosomal RNA (244 nucleotides) under uncultured bacterium. RNAcentral's name for it is "partial 16S ribosomal RNA". It matches the Rfam family "Bacterial small subunit ribosomal RNA", at positions 92 to 334 of the family's 1533-position model. The record is from RNAcentral.